UACGGAGGAUGCAAGCGUUAUCCGGAAUGAUUGGGCGUAAAGCGUCCGCAGGUGGCUAUGUAAGUCUGCUGUUAAAGAGUCUAGCUCAACUAGAUAAGAGCAGUGGAAACUACAUGGCUAGAGUGCGUUCGGGGCAGAGGGAAUUCCUGGUGUAGCGGUGAAAUGCGUAGAGAUCAGGAAGAACACCGGUGGCGAAGGCGCUCUGCUAGGCCGCAACUGACACUUAGGGACGAAAGCUAGGGGAGCGAAUGGG
This 253-nucleotide ribosomal RNA is filed under the name uncultured bacterium. RNAcentral's name for it is "partial 16S ribosomal RNA". It matches the Rfam family "Bacterial small subunit ribosomal RNA", at positions 524 to 776 of the family's 1533-position model. The record is from RNAcentral.